UACGUAGGGAGCAAGCGUUGUUCGGAUUUACUGGGCGUAAAGGGCGCGUAGGCGGCGCGGUAAGUCACUUGUGAAAUCUCUGAGCUUAACUCAGAACGGCCAAGUGAUACUGCAGUGCUAGAGUGCAGAAAGGGCAAUCGGAAUUCUCGGUGUAGCGGUGAAAUGCGUAGAUAUCGAGAGGAACACCUGCGGCGAAGGCGGGUUGCUGGGCUGACACUGACGCUGAUGCGCGAAAGCUAGGGGAGCGAACGGG
RNAcentral lists this ribosomal RNA (253 nucleotides) under uncultured bacterium. Its description in RNAcentral is "partial 16S ribosomal RNA". It matches the Rfam family "Bacterial small subunit ribosomal RNA", at positions 524 to 776 of the family's 1533-position model. The record is from RNAcentral.